AUGGAAGCCGCCACACGCAGCGCCUCCUUGCUGAGGCGGGUCAGCUUGGCGAUGCAGACAAUGUCGCCGUCAGUGAGCGGCUCAUCGAACUUGUGCAGCAGCUUCUCGACUGUCUUGGCGGUCAUCUUCUCCUUUGGACCAAGCAAGCCCAGCUUGCGCACCAGCCACAGGGUCCCUCGCUGCGAGACGGGCACGAAUGUCGGGUUUGCAGCUUGUCGGGCGCUGUGGCGAACAGGAGCAGGCACGACCCUAGUCUUGGGCGGGGCAGACGAUCGGCGCACCGACGCUUCAGGCACCAACGGCGGCUUGGUGGCUUGGAAGAGGCGCAGCGGGCUAGCGGCCGGGUCUGAAGCCUCGCUCUCUGCACCAAGCUGGAGGCAGCAGACCUGGUGGGUGACGGCGCCCAGCUGCAUCUCCGCCGCCGUGGGACGGGCCGGUUCCUUGCGACUGAGGUGGCCCACCGCGGCGCUUGGGCCGGCCAGGGUUGGGCCGAAGACGUCCGGCAAGCCCGUGGCCACCGCGUGGAUGCUGUUGACUUGGUCGUCGAACUCCAGAGGGGCCGAGACCACAGCCGCCACGUGGGCCUCCAGCUCAGCAGCCAUGCAGUCGAAGGGGGGUGGCUGCGAGAGAUGGUUCUUGGCGCCGGCGAAGAAGUCGGCGAUCGGGUCAGGGACUGGUGCAGCUUCAGCGGACGGCGGCGAGGGCAGGGGAUGCGGUGCCUGGAGUAGAGCGGCCCCCGCGCCCGCAGCAUGGCGGCGGCCUGAGUUGCAGCGGCCCCGCGAGCUCUCGGAGCGACGCUGCCCAGGGGGGAGCGGCUGCGGCGACGAGACGCGCCCUCCUGGUCGGCCACCUCCUUUCCGGCACGACUCCGGCCUAGGAGCGUGUCCUUCCAGGACCUGCGCCCACCCUGAUCUUCUCCGUCGUCGUCCUUGCGGCCACCACCUCCGCGAGGGGCGCCGUGGUACCCCAUGUCCGCAAGCGCAGCAAGCUGGCGACGGUGCUGCGGCUCACGCUGGCCAUCUUCCACCCCCUUCUUCCAGGAGCCGGCAGGGAUGA
RNAcentral lists this ribosomal RNA (1056 nucleotides) under Triticum aestivum (bread wheat). RNAcentral describes it as "partial small subunit ribosomal RNA". The record is from RNAcentral. Lineage: Eukaryota; Viridiplantae; Streptophyta; Magnoliopsida; Poales; Poaceae.